RNAcentral lists this ribosomal RNA (497 nucleotides) under uncultured bacterium. RNAcentral describes it as "partial 16S ribosomal RNA". It matches the Rfam family "Bacterial small subunit ribosomal RNA", at positions 28 to 507 of the family's 1533-position model. The record is from RNAcentral.
GAUGAACGCUGGCGGCGUGCCUAAUACAUGCAAGUCGAGCGAACGGACGAGAAGCUUGCUUCUCUCAUGUUAGCGGCGGACGGGUGUGUAACACGUGGAUACCCUACCUAUCAGUCUGGGAUCAUUUCGGGACACCGGAGCUUAUCCCGGAUGAUCUCUUGAUCCGCAUGGUUCAAUAGUGAAAGUCGGUCUUGCUGUCACUUAUAGAUGGAUCCGCGCUGCAUUAGCUAGUUGGUACGGUAACGGCUUAGCACGGCAACUAUGCAUAGCCGACCUGAGAGGGGGAUCGGCCACACUAGAACGUGGACACGGACCAUACGCCUGCGAGAGGCAGCAGUAGGGAAUCGGCCGCAAUAGGCGAGAGCCUGACGGAGCAGCGCCGCGUGAGUGACGAAAGUCUUCGGAUCGGGAUACUCGGUUAUUAGGGAUGAACAGAUGUGUAAGUUACUGAGCACAGCUUGACGGUACCGAGUCAGAAAGCCACGGCUAACUACGUG